RNAcentral lists this ribosomal RNA (253 nucleotides) under uncultured bacterium. RNAcentral describes it as "partial 16S ribosomal RNA". It matches the Rfam family "Bacterial small subunit ribosomal RNA", at positions 524 to 776 of the family's 1533-position model. The record is from RNAcentral.
UACGUAGGGCGCAAGCGUUAUCCGGAAUUAUUGGGCGUAAAGAGCUUGUAGGCGGUUUGUCGCGUCUGCCGUGAAAGUCCGGGGCUCAACUCCGGAUCUGCGGUGGGUACGGGCAGACUAGAGUGAUGUAGGGGAGACUGGAAUUCCUGGUGUAGCGGUGAAAUGCGCAGAUAUCAGGAGGAACACCGGUGGCGAAGGCGGGUCUCUGGGCCGUAACUGACGCUGAGGAGCGAAAGCGUGGGGAGCGAACAGG